Molecule: long non-coding RNA, 294 nt
Organism: Poecile atricapillus (Black-capped chickadee)
Lineage: Eukaryota; Metazoa; Chordata; Aves; Passeriformes; Paridae
Exons: 3
Source: RefSeq, a predicted model, not a curated record
CCUCCCCUCCCUCCUCUUCCUCCCCUUUUCCCGCCGUUCCGCCCCCGCCGGAAGUGGCGCCGCGCGCGGUGACGUCACGGCGCCUCUCCCCGCCAUGAUCCGCGCGGGGGCGGCCGCCCUGAGGGCCUGGAGCAGGGGCCGGGGCUGGGCGGCGCUCUCGACGGAGCCCCCGGCCCCGCCCGCGGCCCCCGAGCCCUGCAAGGGGACCAUCCUGGGGACACCUUGGGGACAUCAGGGACCAUUCUGGGGACAUCAGGGACCAUCCUGGGGACAUCAGGGACCACCCUGGGGACA